RNAcentral lists this transfer RNA (72 nucleotides) under Camelus bactrianus (Bactrian camel). It matches the Rfam family "tRNA". From Rfam's summary of the family: Transfer RNA (tRNA) molecules are approximately 80 nucleotides in length. Their secondary structure includes four short double-helical elements and three loops (D, anti-codon, and T loops). Lineage: Eukaryota; Metazoa; Chordata; Mammalia; Artiodactyla; Camelidae. RNAcentral also lists the same sequence under 2 other names. The record is from Rfam by way of RNAcentral.
ACGGGUAUAGCUCAGGGGUAGAGCUCAUGCCUAGAAUGCAUGAGGUCCCAGGUUCAAUUCCCAGUACCUCCA